This 638-nucleotide ribosomal RNA is filed under the name uncultured bacterium. Its description in RNAcentral is "bacterial SSU rRNA". The stretch from base 1 to 535 matches the Rfam family "Bacterial small subunit ribosomal RNA", at positions 338 to 873 of the family's 1533-position model. The record is from RNAcentral.
CCUACGGGAGGCAGCAGUGAGGAAUAUUGGACAAUGGGCGCAAGCCUGAUCCAGCCAUGCCGCGUGCAGGAUGACGGUCCUAUGGAUUGUAAACUGCUUUUGUACAGGAAGAAACACUGGUUCGUGAACCAGCUUGACGGUACUGUAAGAAUAAGGAUCGGCUAACUCCGUGCCAGCAGCCGCGGUAAUACGGAGGAUCCAAGCGUUAUCCGGAAUCAUUGGGUUUAAAGGGUCCGUAGGCGGUUUAAUAAGUCAGUGGUGAAAGCCCAUCGCUCAACGGUGGAACGGCCAUUGAUACUGUUAGACUUGAAUUAUUAGGAAGUAACUAGAAUAUGUAGUGUAGCGGUGAAAUGCUUAGAGAUUACAUGGAAUACCAAUUGCGAAGGCAGGUUACUACUAAUUGAUUGACGCUGAUGGACGAAAGCGUGGGUAGCGAACAGGAUUAGAUACCCUGGUAGUCCACGCCGUAAACGAUGGAUACUAGCUGUUGGAAGCAAUUUCAGUGGNGUAGAGAAGAGAGUAAGUAAGUACCACCGUCGGGAGGUACGGUUCGGUCGAAGAAAGUUAGUAAACGUUAACGAAAGUAAGUUAAGUUAGGACGGNGAGAGAGCGACGACGACGACGACGGAGGGAGGAGG